This 388-nucleotide ribosomal RNA is filed under the name uncultured bacterium. Its description in RNAcentral is "bacterial SSU rRNA". It matches the Rfam family "Bacterial small subunit ribosomal RNA", at positions 28 to 417 of the family's 1533-position model. The record is from RNAcentral.
GACGAACGCUGGCGGCGUGCUUAACACAUGCAAGUCGAGCGGUAAGGCCCUUUCGGGGGUACACGAGCGGCGAACGGGUGAGUAACACGUGGGUGACCUGCCCUCAGCUCUGGGAUAAGCCUGGGAAACUGGGUCUAAUACUGGAUAUGACUCCACGGUGCAUGUCGUGGGGUGGAAAGCCUUGUGCGGCUGAGGAUGGGCCCGCGGCCUAUCAGCUUGUUGGUGGGGGAUGGCCUACCAAGGCGACGACGGGUAGCCGGCCUGAGAGGGCGACCGGCCACACUGGGACUGAGACACGGCCCAGACUCCUACGGGAGGGCAGCAGUGGGGAAUCUUGCGCAAUGGGCGAAAGCCUGACGCAGCGACGCCGCGUGAGGGAUGACGGCCU